CGUAGCUCAGCUGGAUAGAGUACUCGGCUACGAACCGAGCGGUCGGAGGUUCGAAUAAUCCCG
This 63-nucleotide transfer RNA is filed under the name Klebsiella pneumoniae subsp. pneumoniae. RNAcentral describes it as "tRNA-Arg". Lineage: Bacteria; Pseudomonadati; Pseudomonadota; Gammaproteobacteria; Enterobacterales; Enterobacteriaceae. The record is from RNAcentral.